RNAcentral lists this ribosomal RNA (910 nucleotides) under uncultured bacterium. RNAcentral describes it as "bacterial SSU rRNA". It matches the Rfam family "Bacterial small subunit ribosomal RNA", at positions 33 to 932 of the family's 1533-position model. The record is from RNAcentral.
ACGCUGGCGGCAUGCUUUACACAUGCAAGUCGGACGGCAGCACAGAGAAGCUUGCUUCUUGGGUGGCGAGUGGCGAACGGGUGAGUAACAUAUCGGAACGUACCGAGUAAUGGGGGAUAACUAAUCGAAAGAUUAGCUAAUACCGCAUAUUCUCUGAGGAGGAAAGCAGGGGACCUUCGGGCCUUGCGUUAUUCGAGCGGCCGAUAUCUGAUUAGCUAGUUGGUGGGGUAAAGGCCUACCAAGGCGACGAUCAGUAGCGGGUCUGAGAGGAUGAUCCGCCACACUGGGACUGAGACACGGCCCAGACUCCUACGGGAGGCAGCAGUGGGGAAUUUUGGACAAUGGGCGCAAGCCUGAUCCAGCCAUGCCGCGUGUCUGAAGAAGGCCUUCGGGUUGUAAAGGACUUUUGUCAGGGAAGAAAAGGCUGUCGCUAAUACCGACAGUUGAUGACGGUACCUGAAGAAUAAGCACCGGCUAACUACGUGCCAGCAGCCGCGGUAAUACGUAGGGUGCGAGCGUUAAUCGGAAUUACUGGGCGUAAAGCGAGCGCAGACGGUUACUUAAGCAGGAUGUGAAAUCCCCGGGCUUAACCUGGGAACUGCGUUCUGAACUGGGUGACUAGAGUGUGUCAGAGGGAGGUAGAAUUCCACGUGUAGCAGUGAAAUGCGUAGAGAUGUGGAGGAAUACCGAUGGCGAAGGCAGCCUCCUGGGAUGACACUGACGUUCAUGCUCGAAAGCGUGGGUAGCAAACAGGAUUAGAUACCCUGGUAGUCCACGCCCUAAACGAUGUCAAUUAGCUGUUGGGCAACUUGAUUGCUUAGUAGCGUAGCUAACGCGUGAAAUUGACCGCCUGGGGAGUACGGUCGCAAGAUUAAAACUCAAAGGAAUUGACGGGGACCCGCACAAGCGG